ACCCUCUAGACUAGUGGUUACCCUUAAAUUGGCAUUGCAUUGAUACUCUACAACGAUUUUGGGACUUGUUUUUUAUUCUGUCGAUCGGCCAAGAGAAUAGGCGAUUUUUUAAACAGUUUUUUGUUGUGAUGAGAUGAUCGUCGCCCCGGAACUUUUCGCCGCUCAGAACUCGACGAUGAACUGCGGAAUCCAAUACGACUCGAGGCACGUCUUCCCGGGCCUCAACAUGGAUUCUCCUUGGAUGGGUCAUCAUGUCCAAGCGACAGUG
This is an RNA transcript of Cimex lectularius (bed bug), 268 nucleotides long. RefSeq lists it as uncharacterized. The transcript has 2 exons. NCBI's taxonomy places the organism in Eukaryota, Metazoa, Arthropoda, Insecta, Hemiptera, Cimicidae. The record is from RefSeq and is a predicted model, not a curated record.